UACGAAGGGGGGCUAGCGUUGCUCGGAAUCACUGGGCGUAAAGGGUGCGUAGGCGGGUUUUUAAGUCAGGGGUGAAAUCCUGGAGCUCAACUCCAGAACUGCCUUUGAUACUGAAGAUCUUGAGUUCGGGAGAGGUGAGUGGAACUGCGAGUGUAGAGGUGAAAUUCGUAGAUAUUCGCAAGAACACCAGUGGCGAAGGCGGCUCACUGGCCCGAUACUGACGCUGAGGCACGAAAGCGUGGGGAGCAAACAGG
RNAcentral lists this ribosomal RNA (254 nucleotides) under uncultured bacterium. RNAcentral's name for it is "partial 16S ribosomal RNA". It matches the Rfam family "Bacterial small subunit ribosomal RNA", at positions 524 to 776 of the family's 1533-position model. The record is from RNAcentral.